This is a long non-coding RNA of Cyprinus carpio carpio, 1140 nucleotides long. The record is from Ensembl. Lineage: Eukaryota; Metazoa; Chordata; Actinopteri; Cypriniformes; Cyprinidae.
UAAAAGUCCAUGGUGGUGACAAUAAGUCUAUUUAGUUUUUAUUCAUUUUAAUUUCAGUUUUAUUUUUAGUUUUUUUGGAACAUCAAGUUAAACUAAAUAAAAUUAAGAAACGUUACCUUUUCAAAACUAGAUAAAAAUAAGUUUUAUAUUUAUUUAUAUAUUACUUCAGUUAAUGUUUAUUUAAUUUCAAGUAACUUUCUCUCUCUCUCUCUCUCUCUCUUUCUUUUUUAUGGUUUUAGUUAACUUUAAUAACCCUGUUCUCAAUCAAGGGUCCAAGGCUCUCACUAGGGGUCCUCUUCAAAUUCCUAAGGGAGCACCAAGAUCUAAUUUGUUUUACAGACACCUUCUCCCUCGAGGGAUGUCUGGCUGAGACUGACUGUGAAUAGUGGACUUCUUGAUUGGAGUUAAGGCUGUUGGUGAGGAAUAACCAGGGUUUGAUCCGGGCUGACAGGCUCUCCCAGCGGGAAGGGCCCAGCACAUUACCACAGAUCCAUCAGCUGUCCAUCGCUGUAGGUCUCGGCGGUCCCGUGAAACUGUGGCAGGUAUAGAGGCACCUGUCAAGCUCUGAAUGCUGUGAGAAGGUGUGGUGUGCGACGAGGUGUUCCCAGCGGGCCGGUGGAAAGUUCAUGCUGUCAAUGGGACGAAAGAUUGGUGCAUGUUCGUUGUACUUGUUAGAGGACGAUGUUUUAUGUAUCAGCUGGUUAGAAAAAGUCAGAAGAGAUUGGCUUCAGUGAGGACUGGGGCUAUGUUUAAUUGUGGCAGGUUUGAAAUCAUUAUUUAAAAUAUUACUGGUUCUUAUCAUUGACAGCAGCAGUUUUGGGGGUAACACAUUACAGGUACCGCGAGUAACGCAAUAAGAUUACUUUUUUAGUAGUAACAAGUAAUGUAAUGCAUUACUUUUUAACUUGCAAGAGAGCAGCAGCAGUUAAUUUGUUUUCUCAUGCAUUGACUGUAGCUCCCCUGUGCUCAUGUUGAGUUGAAUCAGGAGUGAUUCCUAAAUAAAAAAACUAAUAAAAAUCAGUGAAAAGCGAAAUCAGUAUAUUGCAAUAAAUAAUUGAUAACACUAAAAUUUGUUUAAGCACUGAAUCCCAUUUUAUUAACCAGUGCCUUUACUGCUGACCAUUGAUGAUCUGAUUCAAC